Molecule: small nuclear RNA, 95 nt
Organism: Dasypus novemcinctus (nine-banded armadillo)
Lineage: Eukaryota; Metazoa; Chordata; Mammalia; Cingulata; Dasypodidae
Source: Ensembl
GUGCUCACUUAUACUAAAAUUGGAACGAUACAUAGAAGAUUGGCAUGGCCCCGUGCAAGGAUGACACGCAAAUUCGUGAAGGAUUCUAUAUUUUU